This is a long non-coding RNA of Hypomesus transpacificus, 1313 nucleotides long. RefSeq lists it as uncharacterized. The transcript is spliced from 3 exons. Lineage: Eukaryota; Metazoa; Chordata; Actinopteri; Osmeriformes; Osmeridae. The record is from RefSeq and is a predicted model, not a curated record.
GUUGUGUUGAAAUGUCACCAAUGCUGAUUUAAAUGUACCAGUAUAUGUUUAGGUACAUUUGGUAACCUGUUCCUUUGUUGAUGUGUUUUUGUACCUGUACUGUAGCUUUAAGAGAAGUCCGUGUUUUGUGACGUGUGUGUGGCGCCAAAGCUCAGAAGGCUUUUUACUGUCUGAGCGGAGGUAUGUUGUUGUGUUUCUCGUCAUAUUUUAGCAUAUAGGUCGUUUUGUGUACAAUGAAAAUGUUUAAUGUGUAACUAAGUGUGUUGUGAAUUAAGUGUGUGAACAUGUUACAGCGCUGUUUUGUUAGCUAGCACUUAGUAAAUGCACUUUUUGAGAGUUUUUGUUGUGUACAUGUGCGUCCGGGUAUUACAGUGUUUCCUCUUUAUUUGUUUGCUAGGAGGGAAUGUUGGUCCCGACUACGACCGUUUAUACUAUUGACACGUUGGUUUCUUUGGCUCAUACAGAAGCGAAUAAAUGAGAGAAAGCCAGCCUCCUUUGUGGUCCAGUCUCCCAUCCUUCCAUUCAUCCAACAUUCACACCCCCCCAGAACACAACGCAGACGAUUACGCCGUUAACGGAUGUGCACUUCUAUAUAUUAACACAAGAACUGUUGCACACCCGUUACAUUGGUGCCGUGACCUUUCAAGGAUUGGUUUAAAGGACGACAUCACCUCGUUCGCCGAGGAAGCUGCUGCCACUGGCCCUUUGUGGUACUGAGCUUUAAGAGAAGUCCGUGUUUUGUGACGUGUGUGUGGCGCCAAAGCUCAGAAGGCUUUUUACUGUCUGAGCGGAGGUAUGUUGUUGUGUUUCUCGUCAUAUUUUAGCAUAUAGGUCGUUUUGUGUACAAUGAAAAUGUUUAAUGUGUAACUAAGUGUGUUGUGAAUUAAGUGUGUGAACAUGUUACAGCGCUGUUUUGUUAGCUAGCACUUAGUAAAUGCACUUUUUGAGAGUUUUUGUUGUGUACAUGUGCGUCCGGGUAUUACAGUGUUUCCUCUUUAUUUGUUUGCUAGGAGGGAAUGUUGGUCCCGACUACGACCGUUUAUACUAUUGACACGUUGGUUUCUUUGGCUCAUACAGGUAUGAAUGUUUUAUGUUCUUUAUAUUAUCGAUGCUGGUUAUGUUUGUGUAUAUGCAGUGAAGUGCAUCUAGUAUGUUAUUCUAUUUAUUUUCAUAUUAUUUUAUACGUCGGCAGAAGGCUUUUUACUGUCUGAGCGGAGGAGGGAAUGUUGGUCCCGACUACGACCGUUUAUACUAUUGACACGUUGGUUUCUUUGGCUCAUACAGAAGCGAAUAAAUGAGAGAAAGCCAGCCUC